This 255-nucleotide ribosomal RNA is filed under the name uncultured bacterium. Its description in RNAcentral is "partial 16S ribosomal RNA". It matches the Rfam family "Bacterial small subunit ribosomal RNA", at positions 524 to 776 of the family's 1533-position model. The record is from RNAcentral.
UACGGAGGGUGCGAGCGUUGUCCGGAAUCACUGGGCGUAAAGGGCGCGUAGGCGGCGCGGAUAGUCGGCGGUGAAAGCCCGGAGCUCAACUCCGGGUCGGCCGUCGAUACUUCCGGGCUUGAGCACUGUAGAGGCAGAUGGAAUUCCGGGUGUAGCGGUGGAAUGCGUAGAGAUCCGGAAGAACACCGGUGGCGAAGGCGGUCUGCUGGGCAGUUUUGCUGACACUGAGGCGCGACAGCGUGGGGAGCAAACAGG